CCUAUUAUUGUGGAGAUUCGGAAGAC
Molecule: non-coding RNA, 26 nt
Filed under: Drosophila melanogaster (fruit fly)
Lineage: Eukaryota; Metazoa; Arthropoda; Insecta; Diptera; Drosophilidae
Source: RNAcentral